Long non-coding RNA from Capsicum annuum, 2804 nucleotides. RefSeq lists it as uncharacterized. The transcript is spliced from 2 exons. The record is from RefSeq and is a predicted model, not a curated record. NCBI's taxonomy places the organism in Eukaryota, Viridiplantae, Streptophyta, Magnoliopsida, Solanales, Solanaceae.
UGUGGUAUAAAAGUGUAUCAAUUAAGUAUAGAGACGCAUGUGCCCAAUUAGGCCAAAUGGCUAAAAAAAAGAAAUUAGUUUACCCGACUGGACAACUUAUAUCCACCUUUACAAAUGUUGGCCAUUUUUUUAAAAAAAUGAACAACCCAUGUCCUUUUCCCUACUUUAAAUAACCUCAAAACUCUCCUAACUAACUAACCCACAAACCCAAUCACAACCAACCCCAGGCCCAAAAUCACUUGAUCUGCUCUAGCCCAAAACCUGUGUGACCCGGCACAUCACUCUUUAAACUGAGACUUUGGAUUAAAAAGGAUAAAUAAGUUAUCCAAUUAAGUAGGAUUCUUCUAAAUUUUUUAAAUUAGGUGGUAGGAAUAAAUUUUUUUUGAGUUUUUUUUUUAAGUUUUUUCGUUCGAACAACUUGUCCCAAUUGUAGAAUAACUUUGAUAGUUGUUCGAUAACUUUACGAAAUUGUUCAACAACUACGCAAGUUGUUCAACAACUAGGCACAGUUGUCCUACAACUGCACCUAGUUGUUCAACAACUGAAAGAAAUUGUUCAACAACUGCGGGAAGUUAUUCAAACAAAUAACGUAAUUAUUUCACAAUUAUCCAAUUAGUCAAGGGACUUAAUUUUUUUUAAGAACAAAUUUGUGAGACCCAUUUAUCCUUCUAGCCUAUUUUUCUCUUUUAAACUCCUCUUCUCCAACAAACAACGACAGCAACAAACAACUCGACAACAACAAUAUCAACAAGCAGUAACAAUUUAAAGAACGGCAAAACCAAACAACAACAAUUUCAAUACAAAACCUGACCUGAACCCGGUAAACCCAGCAACCCGCAAACCGCACCAACGUACAGCUCCGACCCUCAUCCUCUUUUCAAUUCAAAAUUUCAAUCCGUACAAAUUGUAAGAUUCCAGCUCAUACCCUUAUCUCCUAAGAAGAUUCCUCCCUAAAAUUUCAAAAUUGCCUCCGGAUUUUCCAAUCCCACAUCGACAAUUAGUCAAGAGUUGGGAUUUUUGGGUUCUAUAUAAACCCUUCCCACUCUACUAUUCAAACGGGGUUUUUUUGAAGGAAAAAGAGCUAAAAUUCUCUACUCAGGAAGCAAGUUGGUAAGGUUGUUGUCGACUCUUUAUCCCGGUCUGCUGCCCCUAAAAAGGUAAACUUCUCAUCUUGUUUCUUUUUUUUCUCGCGUGAUUAUGUCUCGUCGAAUUUAUGAUAGUUAUUUUUAGUUUUUCUUUUGCUGGUGGGAUUGUUUGCUGUAGAAAGCUUUGAAAGCUAUAGGUUUUGUGUAAUAGAAAUGGUAUAGUUUUCCUUUGUUACUCUUAAUAAUUGCAUCGAAUCAUGGAUUUUGUUGCUAUGGUAGUAUUUAGGUCGUAUUGGUUUCACUACUACUGAAGUUUCAUAAUCGGCCUGGAAAUGUAUUUGAUUCUGAUUAUUUGCUGGCGAUUUGGAUGAAUAUGGUUUGCAAAAUCUCAAUUAAGUGUAUGAUUCACAUCAUUUUUCUGUUCAUGUGUUGGUUUAAAAUCUGAAAUUUCAGAAGUCUUACAAGGCUCUUCAUCUUUAGAAACAAUCGUUCUAUUUUCGUUCAUGCCAUGUUUAAGAGUAUGUGAGCUCUUUUCCUGCUUGUGACUGCCAAUUUUAUUUGUUUUAAUCAAGAUUUGUUCUAAUGGGUAUUCUAUGUGGUUUAUUUCUUCCUCUUUAUUGCUCGUAUGUGCUUAGUUUAGGUUAUUAUUUGUUGUUGAAUACCUCCAAGGUAAUUCAAUGACCCAAUUCAACAUGAUUUUCUAGUUAAUGUUUCCGCCGAAUUAUUGCUAAAUCACUUCGGUUCAUGAUGUGUUGCCUGCUUUAUACUUCCUUGCUAGAUAGUUUAAUGCUUCUAAAAUUGUGUCCUCUUUUAGCCAUAAAAGACAGGUCCAUUUUUGUUUGGCUUUGUUCAUUAAAUUCGUCCAAAAUUAUUAAUCUUCGGCUUUAAAAGAAUGACUUUGCCUCUUCAAAUUAGUUCAAGAUAUCUGUCUUUGCCAUGGGAGUUGUCUUCUUCUUUUAUUUGAAUACGCUUCUAUUUUCAACAUGUAAAAUGAUCUUGUUUGCUUAGUGAUUUAAAUGACCAAAGAUUAGACAUAAUAUCAUAUUGAUUCUGUUAAUUAAAGAUUUUCUUGAAUGUAUAAUUUUUCUUAGAAAUAGAUAUGAGAUGCAUUUCAUUGCUGUUGAUUUUUGUUAGUUUGGAUUCAUGUUAUUUUAUUUGCCAAUUAUUCACUUUAAAAUAGAUACUUAUUCUUAUCUUCUUUUUGUGGCAUGUGACAUUGACCCGAGUCCAUUAGACUCCAUCUCCCCUUUGCAUUUCCGCUGGGCCAUUGAGGCCCAACAUCAUCGAGUCCAAGAUCCCAUGCCAAAAGUCCCCAAACGAGACAGCUUUGCGACAAUAUAUGGCGGAUGUACAGAUUUCAUAGGGCAAAAGCAGUUGAUAUACGGCAAUAGACAGUAGUAAAUGAAGGCAAGGGAGUGAAGUAUCGAUUUUAUACGCUGAUAUACAGUUUGUAUACAGAAAAACUGCCAAUGAAGUCUAGUAUAUGUGAAGUAUACAACUGAUAUACAGCUGGUAUACAUCUGAAAAGGGGCUAAAAAAGGGUCCAUUAAAAUAGGUCCAACGGUUGUCCAGAUUUAAAGUGGGCUAGAAAGGGGCCAUUUGCUUGUAGUUAAUUUAAUUAUUUAUUUAUAAUUUAAUUUAAUCCAGAUGAAUCCUCGGGAAGCAAAUUAUAUUGAAAUUAUUCAUUUAUGUUGAUUAUUUAAUAUUUUUAAUCUUUAA